CAGUGCAUGGUGGGAGAUGUCAGCAUUAUCCUGACGGACCCAACAGACCUCUCCUCGGCUGAGCUGGAGAUCAUGAUAGCAGGCCACAGAACGCAUGGACAAGAAUAUGGGACUCGUACAGCUUAAAUAUCCUCGGGCAUGUUGAGGAGGACCGACAGUGUUCAGGGCCCUGUCACUCCUACAUAUGGACUUCGCAAGUUGAUGAGGUUCUGAUCCUCCAAAUGGCCAGAAACCAGGCAUCCAUGGCUCUGGAAUUCUUCCUUGAUGCUGCAAAGAAACGUGACUCCAUCCAGCCUGUCUUGAAGCCAAGAUGACCUGGACACAACUGGGAAGACUUAUUGCUGUCAACCCUCAUGAAAGCCUUGUGCAGAAUAAGACAUUUUUCCAAUGUGUGGCCCCUACAAAUCGGGCUGUUUCACCAUGUCCCCUUUUUAAAUGGCACUGGUGCAGGUCUAGUUUUUCACUGUAUCUAGUGCUACAGGGGAGCUAGGACCUGCACCAGUGCCUGUCAUCUUUGAUAUUAAAAGCAGAACAAGAAAGUUUUACAGUCAUAAUAGUUUUAUUGAAAACCAAAAACAAAGCCUGGAAAUUGUAAUUUUUUUUAUUUUUUAUUUUUUAAAUGCUGAGGUUUUGGCUAAGAUGGGAAAAUACCUAUCAAGGUAGAGUA
Molecule: long non-coding RNA, 667 nt
Organism: Monopterus albus (swamp eel)
Lineage: Eukaryota; Metazoa; Chordata; Actinopteri; Synbranchiformes; Synbranchidae
Exons: 4
Source: RefSeq, a predicted model, not a curated record